AGCCACCGAAGACUGCAGUCACAGUGGAGUGGGUUGGUUCCCAGCGCCCUAGGAGGCAGAACAGGAAGUCAGGGCCCCCUGCCCAGCUUGGCCAGUAGCCUUCAUAUCCUUGGCUCUCUGGAAAUGCAUUUUCAGACUUUGGCUAGACUGGAGGUAUCCAAUAUGGGGCCAGCGGAGUAGUCGUCUCCACUGUGGCAAAGUUAAUAUCUCCAGAGUGUACUUCCAAUCCUGUGGAAGUUUCAACUCCCAUCCCAGCCCCUUCCACUUCUGAGGCGUGGCUCUCACCUACGCAAGUAAGACUCACUCUUCAACUCAACCCCAUCCUAGCUCCUUUAGGGAGCUUCCUGGAUCACUGGCCAUCUGAUUAUCUGGUUCCCUUGCCCUGUUGAAGGGUCCACUGGAGGAUAUACUCUGCAGAGAAGGUUCUGAAACCCAGCAACCUAGGGAGCAGCUUCAAACCACUUGGCUAGACUUUCAUCCCAGUUGUGACUGGGACGAAAAUACUAGAAAUUCUGUUUUUUUUUUUAAAUUAUAUCCUUUAACAAUUCUACUUUUGAAAGUUUUAGAAUAUGCAUACGUAGUAUAUCCGUAUUAUAGUGUAUGCACACAUUAUGAAAAUAAUUAAAUAUGCAUAUAGAAGGAAUACAAACUCGAAAAUGUUCACUGACAGAGGUGUAUAAAAAAAUGUAGAGAUUCCUGAUCUGUGGAAGAGAGGUCUGGCCUGGGAGUGAGGGAAUCUAGAUUCUAGUCCAACAUCUCACUGACCUGAUAGUCAAACUUUAGCUAGUCACCUAAUAUUUAUGGGCCUCAGUUUUUCCUGUGUAAAAUAAGAAGGGAAUACCUGUUGCAGAGUGCAAAGUGGUUAAGAAUAUGUGCUUUGGAGUCAAGGCAAACCUAGAUCUGAUCCUGGGCCCUGCCAUCUGCUAGCUGUGCCAUGCUUAGACACAAUGUUAUUAUAUAUAAUAAAAGGAUAAAAAUGCCUUACAGUUGUAAGAAAUAAAUAGAAAACUUAUCUAAAGUGUUUACCCCAUAGUACAUGUUUUCUAUUAGUUCUUAUUAAAUAUUUACAGUGUUUACAUAAUUGAGGAUUCCUUUGAAGGCUUCUGAGGUGGGAAACAAGACAAUAUGCAUAGUGUGGAUACAUAGUUGUAUAAUAUACUGUAUGCAUAAGGAAAGGACAUCUGCCAAAAUGCUGACAGUGAUGACAUUGUCGCUGACACUUUCAUGCUUUCAUGUUUUGAAUGUUCAUUGGGGAGAAACACUGCUACUUACAGAUGGGAAAGAGAUGUGAGGUCGUUGAAGGAGCCUUCAGGAACGCUGGAAAUGUCAUUGCCAUGGAGGGUUCUGAAGCAGAGGGCACAGGUCGGAAGCUGAGAAAGGAAGAGACCCAAGGGAGUUACUGGAGUUUCAGAGAUCAUAUGAAGAGCUGUGCUUAAGACCGGAAGUUCUGGAGCCAGGCUGUGUGAGUCAAACCUGACUUUGUCGCUUACCAGCUGUGUGACUAAGGGCAAAGCAAUUUACCCUCUCUGUGCUUCAGCCUCUAUUGUAAAACAGAUGUCAAAGUGCCAACCCUGGACCAUGGUUGGGAGGUCACAGUGAGUCACCUUCUGGCUCAGCAGAAGAAUUUUCUGAUGCUCUAAUAGCUGGUCAAAAGUGGAAUAGAGUUGCCUGGGUCUGGCUCUAUUGCCCAGGCUGGAAUGCAAUGGCGUGCUCUCAGCUCACUGCAACCUCUGCCUCCCAGGCUCCAAUGAUCCUCCCACCUCCGCCUCCCAAGUAGCUGGGACUACAGGCGCAUGUUACCAUGCCUGGCUAAUUUUUUGAAUUUUUUGGUAGAGACAGGGUUUCACUAUGUUGCCCAGGCUAGUCUUGAAGUCCUGGGCUCAAGCAAUCCUCCCACCUCGGCCUCCCAAAGUGCUGGGAUUACAGGUGUGAGCCACCAUGCUGGGGCAAGCCUACUAAUUCGUAUUUCAAGAAGCAAGUGCUAGCGUGUUGUAUGGUUACGUGUACCGCUGAUGAACUCAUGGCAGUAGUAGUGCCAGACUGGGACAAAUGAUGCUGAGGAAAGAGAAAACCCUGGUCAGGCUGGUGGUGUUCACCCCAUCACCCCCACCACCCCAAAAGACAGACAGAUGGACGGGCAAACAUUUUCUCUCCCUCUUACAUAUUGAGUUGCCCCAAACAUCACUACUCUAAUUAUGAACAGAUGCAUGCAGAUUCCUUAAAAUUGGCAGGUCCCACCUCCUGGCAGUGAACCCACACACGGAACUAUUAGACUGGGAUGGAAGACAAUAGGUUGGGAUUGAGGGGGAAUGGUAGGAGAAGGAAGGGGGAGCAGGUCCGGCUUCAGCCCUGGCCAGUGAUACGAGCCCAUCUCCUGCUGUGUUCAACUGGAAACAGGGAAAUGGUUGUGCUGAUGUAUCCAUUCUCAAACUCCCCAGAGAAGGUGGAUAAUAAAUAAGUGACAAUAACAGAUUGCACACUGUCAGCGCGGGCACUUCUUUGCCCCCAGAGAAUUGAUUUUUAAUAACAGCGCAGAUGACAUGUGGCGGGAGUUGUCACUGACACCGGUGUUUUGUGGGCCUCAAUAAAUCACAUCAGCCUGGAGGCUCUGAAAUGGACUAGCUUGUUGGGUGCUGUUUGUGGAUUGCUACUCGGCCCUGGAAUGGCUCCCGGGUCCCAGGAGGCUGGAUUCUGCAACCUACUGACUGCUAGACCUUGGCCAGUUACUUCACCAGUCUGGGCCUCAGUUUCUCCAUGUUUAAAAUGGGCAGAACUGUCUUGGUCUCACAGCAGUGUUGCAAAAGGUUAGACGAAGAAAACUGUCCCAUAAAAUAUGUUGAUCACUAUUAUAGUAAUAAUGAUCUAGAAAGUCAGGAAGUUGAUAGGUUUGGGGGCGGAGUAUCUGGCAUCUCUGUUUUCAUGAAUAGCAUUCAAGGGUGAUAUUCAAAGGACCAAAGGAAUUCAAAGGAAUGUGCUAAUAAAAUAGAAGCAAGAUGGGAAGGCACAAAAAUCAGGUGUUAAUCAGGCCCAGGAUUGGGGGUGGUGGUGGGGUGCCUUCCUGCCCUAGCAAGCUGUGAUAUAAGAAUAAUAACAAGUGAAUAUUUGUUAAGCAUUUACAGUGCCAGAGCUGCACUAAGUACUUCAUAUACAGUAUCUCAUUUAAUCCUCAUAAGACCCUGUGAGGCAAUUACCAUAAUUAUCUGAUUUUAUGGAUGAGAAGACACUCAGCUACCCAUGUGUAGGACAGGGCCAGGCAGGCGAGGAGAGUGGGCCGGCUGUGGAGGCUGCAGCCUGCACAACUCUGUUUAAAGGGGCAGGGCUGCUCAGCCAUGCAGGAAUGCAGGGGUAGGGCCCUGGUACGGCCAGGUCUCUCAAUUUUCCAAAAGAAUAUAGAGAGUGGGAUUUGUGGAAGAAAUCUGAUAUUUAAAUGUUGACAGCUUAUUAAGCUUUGUGUUCUUAAAAAGACACUCUAUGAGCCAACCCCACAAUUGCUAACUAAUAGCUGUCUGUGAGCUGGACGGGGGCCCUGGGUUUCCAGCUUGUGAUCUCUGGGGUAGGAGCUGUUUCCAUGCAGAGGUUCACCAUGCUGCAUUGCCCCUCUGAGGAAACAACUGUCAACAGAAUGAUCAUCGAAACGUGGCUAUGACCACACACUAUGCUCAAUACUAGAGGGUAGAAUACAAUUGCAUAUCCUAAUCCUCACAAAGGAGGUGCUAUUGAUCCCAUUUUACACAUAAAGAAGCAGAAAGUUGAAGGGGCUCAGUGAUUUGCUCAAGGUUCCACAGUGGUAGUGCGCUGGACCCUGGGAAUGGCAGACUCUCAAAGGUAGCUCUCUCUACUCCACUGAGCA
Molecule: long non-coding RNA, 3850 nt
Filed under: Homo sapiens (human)
Lineage: Eukaryota; Metazoa; Chordata; Mammalia; Primates; Hominidae
Description: HSALNT0097453
Source: RNAcentral